AAUAGAUACCCAGGUAGUCCACGCCCUAAACGAUGUCAACUAGUUGUUGGGGAUUCAUUUCCUCAGUAACGUAGCUAACGCGUGAAGUUGACCGCCUGGGGAGUACGGUCGCAAGAUUAAAACUCAAAGGAAUUGACGGGGACCCGCACAAGCGGUGGAUGAUGUGGAUUAAUUCGAUGCAACGCGAAAAACCUUACCUACCCUUGACAUGCCACUAACGAAGCAGAGAUGCAUCAGGUGCCCGAAAGGGAAAGUGGACACAGGUGCUGCAUGGCUGUCGUCAGCUCGUGUCGUGAGAUGUUGGGUUAAGUCCCGCAACGAGCGCAACCCUUGUCUCUAGUUGCUACGCAAGAGCACUCUAGAGAGACUGCCGGUGACAAACCGGAGGAAGGUGGGGAUGACGUCAAGUCCUCAUGGCCCGUUACUGGGUAGGGGUCGUUCACACGUCAUACAAUGGUGCGUACAGAGGUUGGCAACCCGCGAGGGGAGGCUAAUCUCAGAAAACGACAUCGUAGUCCGGAGUCGUAGU
Molecule: ribosomal RNA, 529 nt
Filed under: uncultured bacterium
Lineage: Bacteria
Description: bacterial SSU rRNA
Rfam family: Bacterial small subunit ribosomal RNA
Source: RNAcentral